CCCAAGCUAGCUCAGUUGGUACAGCAUGAGACUCUUAAUCUCAGGGUCAUGGAUUCAUGCCCCAUGUUGGGUG
Molecule: transfer RNA, 73 nt
Organism: Neotoma lepida (desert woodrat)
Lineage: Eukaryota; Metazoa; Chordata; Mammalia; Rodentia; Cricetidae
Rfam family: tRNA
About the family: Transfer RNA (tRNA) molecules are approximately 80 nucleotides in length. Their secondary structure includes four short double-helical elements and three loops (D, anti-codon, and T loops). Further hydrogen bonds mediate the characteristic L-shaped molecular structure. tRNAs have two regions of fundamental functional importance: the anti-codon, which is responsible for specific mRNA codon recognition, and the 3' end, to which the tRNAs corresponding amino acid is attached (by aminoacyl-tRNA synthetases). tRNAs cope with the degeneracy of the genetic code in two manners: having more than one tRNA (with a specific anti-codon) for a particular amino acid; and 'wobble' base-pairing, i.e. permitting non-standard base-pairing at the 3rd anti-codon position.
Source: Rfam